UGGUCGGUGGGCUGGUUUUUGGUAAGCAGAACGGGCGAUUCGGGGAUGAACCGGAAGCGGGGGAGAAAGGGCCCGAGAUUGCGUCGACGCGGAUCCCGAAAAGGGCGUCGAUCCGUCGCGACAGCGGGACGGUGGUCAUGGAAGUCGAAAUCCGCUAAGAAGCGUGUAAAAACGUACCCGCCCAACGGAUCGGCCCCGAAAAUUGAUGGCGCUCGAACGCAACCCUCGAACCCCGCCGACGGAGGCUAGGGGAGGCCCCGUCGAGUAGGCGGACGCGCGGGUCGCUUCGACGCUCUCGCGCGAGCGGGGGCGGAGCGGCCCGUGGUGCAGAUCUUGGUGGUAGUAGCGAUCACCCAGGCGAGAACCCUGAGGGCCGAAGUGGAGAAGGGUUUCUCGAGAACGGCACUCGCUCGAGAGUUAGUCGAUCCUAAGCUGCCGGCGGCAGCCACGAAACGGUCGAUCGGGCGCGAGCCCGGCAGCCACGACCGGGCAGCGAAAGGGAAUUGGGAACCU
Molecule: ribosomal RNA, 513 nt
Filed under: uncultured eukaryote
Lineage: Eukaryota
Description: eukaryotic LSU rRNA
Rfam family: Eukaryotic large subunit ribosomal RNA
Source: RNAcentral